UACGUAGGAUGCAAGCGUUGUCCGGAUUUACUGGGCGUAAAGCGCGCGCAGGCGGCAGGUUAAGUAAGGUGUGAAAUCUCCCUGCUCAACGGGGAGGGUGCACUUUAGACUGACCAGCUAGAGGGCGGUAGAGGGUGGUGGAAUUGCUGGUGUAGCGGUGAAAUGCGUAGAGAUCAGCAGGAACACCCGUGGCGAAGGCGGCCACCUGGGCCGUACCUGACGCUGAGGCGCGAAAGCUGGGGGAGCGAACCGG
RNAcentral lists this ribosomal RNA (253 nucleotides) under uncultured bacterium. RNAcentral's name for it is "partial 16S ribosomal RNA". It matches the Rfam family "Bacterial small subunit ribosomal RNA", at positions 524 to 776 of the family's 1533-position model. The record is from RNAcentral.